This 470-nucleotide ribosomal RNA is filed under the name uncultured bacterium. RNAcentral describes it as "partial 16S ribosomal RNA". It matches the Rfam family "Bacterial small subunit ribosomal RNA", at positions 28 to 507 of the family's 1533-position model. The record is from RNAcentral.
GACGAACGCUGGCGGCGUGCUUAACACAUGCAAGUCGAACGAGAUCCCAUGUGUAGCCCUCCACAGGAAGAUCUAGUGGCGAACGGGUGAGGAACACGUGAGAAACGUACCCCAGACUUUGGGAUAACAGUCCGAAAGGACUGCUAAUACCAAAUAACGUCGGAAGUCCGCAUGGACAUCUGACGAAAGGGAUUCCGGUUUGGGAGCGUCUCGCGGACCUAUCAGCUAGUUGGAGGGGUAACGGCCCACCAAGGCAACGACGGGUAGCUGGUCUGAGAGGAUGGUCAGCCACACUGGGACUGAGACACGGCCCAGACUCCUACGGGAGGCAGCAGUGGGGAAUCUUGCGCAAUGGGCGAAAGCCUGACGCAGCAACGCCGCGUGCGGGAAGAAGGCUUUCGGGCUGUAAACCGCUUUCAGUAGGAACGAAACUGACGGUACCUACAGAAGAAGGAGCGGCCAACUAUGUG